UACGGAGGGUGCAAGCGUUAAUCGGAAUUACUGGGCGUAAAGCGCACGCAGGCGGUUUUGUAAGUCAGAUGUGAAAUCCCCGGGCUCAACCUGGGAACUGCCUCUGAUACUGGAAAGCUUGAGUCCCGUAGAGGGGGGUAGAAUUCCUGGUGUAGCGGUGAAAUGCGUAGAGAUCUGGAGGAACACCGGUGGCGAAGGCGGCCCCCUGGACGAAGACUGACGCUGAGGUGCGAAAGCGUGGGGAGCAAACAGG
Molecule: ribosomal RNA, 253 nt
Filed under: uncultured bacterium
Lineage: Bacteria
Description: partial 16S ribosomal RNA
Rfam family: Bacterial small subunit ribosomal RNA
Source: RNAcentral